Molecule: ribosomal RNA, 542 nt
Filed under: uncultured bacterium
Lineage: Bacteria
Description: bacterial SSU rRNA
Rfam family: Bacterial small subunit ribosomal RNA
Source: RNAcentral
UGGGGAAUAUUGCACAAUGGGCGAAAGCCUGAUGCAGCGACGCCGCGUGAGGGAUGGAGGCCUUCGGGUUGUAAACCUCUUUCGCUCAUGGUCAAGCCGCAACAGUGGUUGUGGUGAGGGUAGUGGGUAAAGAAGCACCGGCUAACUACGUGCCAGCAGCCGCGGUAAUACGUAGGGUGCGAGCGUUGUCCGGAAUUAUUGGGCGUAAAGGGCUUGUAGGCGGUUUGACGCGUCUGCCGUGAAAUCCUCUGGCUUAACUGGGGGCGUGCGGUGGGUACGGGCAGGCUUGAGUGCGGUAGGGGAGACUGGAACUCCUGGUGUAGCGGUGGAAUGCGCAGAUAUCAGGAAGAACACCGGUGGCGAAGGCGGGUCUCUGGGCCGUUACUGACGCUGAGGAGCGAAAGCGUGGGGAGCGAACAGGAUUAGAUACCCUGGUAGUCCACGCUGUAAACGUUGGGCACUAGGUGUGGGGGCCACCCGUGGUUUCUGCGCCGUAGCUAACGCUUUAAGUGCCCCGCCUGGGGAGUACGGCCGCAAGGCUA